CCAGUUGACCGGGUGGCCGCUGGCAGUGGGGUAACCCUCUGCCAGAGGAAAGUCCGGGCUCCAUCGGAACACGGUGACGGCUAACAGCCGCCGGGGGCGACCCCAGGGAAAGUGCCACAGAAAGCAAACCGCCGAUCUUCGGAUCGGUAAGGGUGAAAGGGUGCGGUAAGAGCGCACCGGGCGCCUGGCAACAGGGGCCGCACGGUAAACCCCACCGGGAGCAAGACCAAAUAGGGAUGACGCGGGGAAACCCAGCCUGUUUCGAGGCCAUGUCGUCCGGGUUGGUUGCACGAGUGCCCUGGUAACAGGGGCCACAGAUGAAUGGUCACCACGUCGCGCAAGCGGCCCUACAGAACCCGGCUUAUAGGUCAACUGGCUCU
Molecule: RNase P RNA, 380 nt
Filed under: Devosia sp. FJ2-5-3
Lineage: Bacteria; Pseudomonadati; Pseudomonadota; Alphaproteobacteria; Hyphomicrobiales; Devosiaceae
Description: RNase P RNA component class A
Rfam family: Bacterial RNase P class A
About the family: Ribonuclease P (RNase P) is a ubiquitous endoribonuclease, found in archaea, bacteria and eukarya as well as chloroplasts and mitochondria. Its best characterised activity is the generation of mature 5'-ends of tRNAs by cleaving the 5'-leader elements of precursor-tRNAs.
Source: RNAcentral